This 253-nucleotide ribosomal RNA is filed under the name uncultured bacterium. Its description in RNAcentral is "partial 16S ribosomal RNA". It matches the Rfam family "Bacterial small subunit ribosomal RNA", at positions 524 to 776 of the family's 1533-position model. The record is from RNAcentral.
GACAGAGGGUGCAAACGUUGCUCGGAAUCACUGGGCGUAAAGGGCGUGUAGGCGGGACUGUAAGUCGGGCGUGAAAUCCCUAGGCUCAACCUAGGAACUGCACUCGAAACUGCGUUUCUUGAGUAUCGGAGAGGAAAGCGGAAUACCUGGUGUAGAGGUGAAAUUCGUAGAUAUCAGGUGGAACACCAGUGGCGAAGGCGGCUUUCUGGACGAUAACUGACGCUGAGACGCGAAAGCGUGGGGAGCAAACAGG